RNAcentral lists this ribosomal RNA (422 nucleotides) under uncultured bacterium. RNAcentral's name for it is "partial 16S ribosomal RNA". It matches the Rfam family "Bacterial small subunit ribosomal RNA", at positions 360 to 774 of the family's 1533-position model. The record is from RNAcentral.
AAUAUUGGACAAUGGGGGCAACCCUGAUCCAGCCAUGCCUCGUGUGUUAAGAAGGUCUUCGGAUUGUAAAUCACUUUACUUUGGGAGGAAGGGCUUUCGAAUAAUACCCUGAAGAAUUCACGAUACCAACAGAAUAAGCACUGACUAACUCGCUGCGAUCAGCCGCGGUAAUACAGAGGGUGCAAGCGUUAAUCGGAAUUACUGGGCGUAAAGCGCGCGUAGGUGGUUCAGUAAGAUGGGUGUGAAAUCCCCGGGCUUAACCUGGGAACUGCUUUCAUAACUGCUGAGCUAGAGUACGGUAGAGGGUAGUGGAAUUUCCUGUGUAGCGGUGAAAUGCGUAGAUAUAGGAAGGAACACCAGUGGCGAAGGCGACUACCUGGACUGAUACUGACACUGAGGUGCGAAAGCGUGGGGAGCAAACA